CUCAUCGCCUCCGAGAACUUCACCUCCUUCGCCGUCAUCGAGGCCCUCGGCAGCGCUCUCACGAACAAAUACUCCGAGGGCAUGCCGGGCAACCGCUACUACGGCGGCAAUGAAUACAUCGACCAGAUCGAAAACCUCUGCCGCUCACGCGCCCUCCAAGCCUUCCACCUCGACGCCCAAUCCUGGGGCGUCAACGUCCAGCCCUACUCCGGCUCCCCGGCCAACUUCGCCGCCUACACCGCCGUCCUCAACCCCCACGACCGCAUCAUGGGGCUAGAUCUCCCCUCCGGCGGCCACCUCACCCACGGCUACUACACCUCCGGCGGAAAGAAGAUCUCCGCCACCUCCAUUUACUUCGAGAGUCUCCCUUACAAGGUAAACUCCACCACCGGCUACAUCGACUACGACCGCUUGGAAGAAAAAGCCCUAGACUUCAGGCCAAAACUCAUAAUCUGCGGUGGCAGCGCGUACCCUCGCGAUUGGGA
Molecule: long non-coding RNA, 485 nt
Filed under: Glycine max (soybean)
Lineage: Eukaryota; Viridiplantae; Streptophyta; Magnoliopsida; Fabales; Fabaceae
Description: long non-coding RNA (GMAX_LNC001681)
Source: RNAcentral